Molecule: ribosomal RNA, 468 nt
Filed under: uncultured bacterium
Lineage: Bacteria
Description: partial 16S ribosomal RNA
Rfam family: Bacterial small subunit ribosomal RNA
Source: RNAcentral
GACGAACGCUGGCGGCGUGCUUAACACAUGCAAGUCGAACGGAAAGGCCCUGCUUUUGUGGGGUGCUCGAGUGGCGAACGGGUGAGUAACACGUGAGUAACCUGCCCUUGACUUUGGGAUAACUUCAGGAAACUGGGGCUAAUACCGGAUAGGAGCUCCUGCUGCAUGGUGGGGGUUGGAAAGUUUCGGCGGUUGGGGAUGGACUCGCGGCUUAUCAGCUUGUUGGUGGGGUAGUGGCUUACCAAGGCUUUGACGGGUAGCCGGCCUGAGGGGGUGACCGGCCACAUUGGGACUGAGAUACGGCCCAGACUCCUACGGGAGGCAGCAGUGGGGAAUAUUGCACAAUGGGCGGAAGCCUGAUGCAGCAACGCCGCGUGCGGGAUGACGGCCUUCGGGUUGUAAACCGCUUUCGCCUGUGACGAAGCGAGAGUGACGGUAAUGGGUAAAGAAGCACCGGCUAACUACGUG